Neofelis nebulosa (Clouded leopard) is the source of this 2315-nucleotide long non-coding RNA. RefSeq lists it as uncharacterized. The record is from RefSeq and is a predicted model, not a curated record. The transcript is spliced from 4 exons. NCBI's taxonomy places the organism in Eukaryota, Metazoa, Chordata, Mammalia, Carnivora, Felidae.
GCUGCCUAUAAAGCUGUAACAGUUUAGCCCGUGGCCACUGAGGGAAGAAUAUAAGUUAACCUCUGUAGUGACCAUGUGGAAGUCCUGACCUUGCUUGCAGACUUGACCUCUGGAUAUGACAAGGUGGCUUCAAUACAGAUCUACCAAUUAAUCUUGGAAACUAAAAACCAAAAAAAACAAAAACAAAAACAAAAAACAAACAAACAAACAAAAAACUUCACAGCAAGAAAGAUACAGAAUAUUUCCUGCGAAGUCAGAAGAACCCAAUGUAUUCUGGUGGGCAAAGGAAAAUAGGGUGAGGUUCUGCAUUCACUGAUACAGCCCCCUUACUUCUCUCGGCUCAUGAAAAGAAGUGCUGAAUCAGCGAACAGAGUGAAGGAACAAUCACGAUGAAAUGGCUGCUGCUGAUGUGACUCUUUAGGUCACCAUCUCUCUUCCUCCUGCAAAUGCUGCAUGGCACUAAGCUUACCAGGAUCUAGAAGCAAACUACAAAAUAAGAAGAAAUUCUCUCUGAAGACUAUGAAGAAACAUUAGGCUGAUCUUCCCAAUUUCUGAAGUAUACUCUGUAAAAACUCCACUGAUUCUAUGAAUCUCUGGCAAAAACAACCAGACCAGGACAAAGUUCAACAGAUAACUGGUUAGUGUUUAGACAUGUCUAUGUCUACCAAGAACAAGGAACCAUAAAAGGCACUAAUGCUAUGAUUCAGGGAUAACAGAUGCUGACAUUAUCAAAUGCCAUGGCCUCUCCUUGCCCCGAUAUGGCCAGUAUAUGAAACUGCACUGCCAUCCAAAAGCACACUUGAGCAACUGGAUCUGCUAACCAGCUCCCAUAUAACCAGUAAAAAUAGAAGUCAGUUUUAUUGCUAUCUUCAGCACUUAAGUCUACGCAAUUUAACACCUGUUUCAUUUCUAUUAGAAUAAAUGGAAAGAAUCGUAGUUACAUUAAUUUCACCAGCAGCACGAUACUUAACAACCAACAGAUGCAGAAUAUACGUAAUAUGAGAAUUGUUUAAAUAUUGCCUAAAUUAGUGUUGACCUUCUCCCAGUUUAGUUCAAAACAUUAACUGUUUCUUUACUCUGCAUUUCACUGAAAGUACUUAAUUCAUUACUUUAUAGGCCAACUAUAAUUUCUCAAACUUUUAUUUUUGCAAGUAUAUUUCAGAGGAUAUCCCCUCCCUGAUUCUGAAAUGCAAAACUGAAAUCACAUUAUAGCAAAAAUCUGCUCUACUGACUUUUAAAGUAUUACUUACCUGAUUUUAAUAUUCAAGUUCACUGAUUAUAGCUGUACACCAAAAGUCAAUGUAUUAUUAAGCUGAUAAUGGAAGUAACUAGGCAAUCUGUACGCAAAAUGAUAGAGAAUUCCGCAGGGGAAACAGACUUGAAAAGGGUUACAUUACUAACCUAGGAUUAGUAACACUACAUAAGCAAAAACAAAGAAAAAAGCUGGCAUGCAUGGUAGUGCCUUUCAACACAAGUCCAAGCAAUACAGUGAAUACACAUGUGAUCUAUUUAUAAACCAAAGGGCAGAGGUACUUUCUUAAGGCCACUCAUAUUCCUCCAUCCCUUCCCUGUCAGCAACUUGCUAUUAGUCCUCAAGUAUAAUACUGAAGGAGCCACAGUAGAAAGGUAUGACUUUAGUGCUCUUCCCUAUUAGCUUAUUCACUUGGUUCAGUGCCUACAGACAAACAGAAAAUAGUACUCUGAAACACAUCAAGGUCUAUUUGUUCCUUUAAAUGCUGUUGGUUUUAAAAACAGGUUAUUGUCCACACUUAAGAAUUACACAAAGGUGUACACUGAUAAUCCCUUAAUACAUCAACAAAACAUGAAAGGGCAAAGACUUCUGUUCCAUUCGAGUAGGAAGGAGGAAAAGUGCCUUCAAAAUAGAAAAGUUUACAUGUAAUGACUCAACUACUACUGAUAGGAGAAUCUCUAACAUUUGUAGAACGUCCAUAACCAUAAUUAUACAAAUAAAAAACAGCUCUGCUGUUUUGUAUCCCAAACUAGCAACACUGCAAUGCUUUGCUAGAGCUGGUAAAAUGGAACCAAAUCGCCUCUUCAAUGGAUUUGGUCCCCUUCAACCAGCUGUAGCUAUGCAUUGAUUACUACAGGACUGCCAACGUUUCACUGAUAAAUAUCAAUCACAUGUAAAUGAAUUUCAGCUUAUUUACAUUAUUUGGAUUGUGGUUUCAAUCAAAUAAUUUGUUACUGUUAAUUCCCCUUGGAAGAACCAUAGUGGUUAACAAUGUUUAUAAAAUGUUUUAUGAAAAAUGUGUGGACAACUUAAGGAUUGCAAAUAAAAUAAUUUUACUUAUUUA